This 253-nucleotide ribosomal RNA is filed under the name uncultured bacterium. Its description in RNAcentral is "partial 16S ribosomal RNA". It matches the Rfam family "Bacterial small subunit ribosomal RNA", at positions 524 to 776 of the family's 1533-position model. The record is from RNAcentral.
UACGUAGGGCGCAAGCGUUGUCCGGAAUUAUUGGGCGUAAAGAGCUCGUAGGUGGCUUGUCGCGUCUGCCGUGAAAGCCCAUGGCUUAACUGCGGGUCUGCGGUGGAUACGGGCUGGCUAGAGGUAGGUAGGGGCAAGCGGAAUUCCUGGUGUAGCGGUGAAAUGCGCAGAUAUCAGGAGGAACACCGGUGGCGAAGGCGGCUUGCUGGGCCUUACCUGACGCUGAGGAGCGAAAGCGUGGGGAGCGAACAGG